Small nuclear RNA from Callithrix jacchus (white-tufted-ear marmoset), 71 nucleotides. Its record names the gene U7. It matches the Rfam family "U7 small nuclear RNA". From Rfam's summary of the family: Animal histone pre-mRNAs are spliced by a different mechanism than nuclear pre-mRNAs and self-splicing introns. This processing involves the U7 snRNP, which contains only one RNA species: U7. The record is from Ensembl. Lineage: Eukaryota; Metazoa; Chordata; Mammalia; Primates; Cebidae.
GAGUGUUACAGCUCUUUCAGAAUUUGUCUAGCAGGCUUUCCAGUUUACGCUGCUAAAAAAUACAAGCUCUA